This 527-nucleotide ribosomal RNA is filed under the name uncultured bacterium. RNAcentral's name for it is "bacterial SSU rRNA". It matches the Rfam family "Bacterial small subunit ribosomal RNA", at positions 68 to 609 of the family's 1533-position model. The record is from RNAcentral.
GUCAAGAGGAGCUUGCUUUUCUUGACUUAGUGGCGAACGGGUGAGUAACGCGUGAGUAACCUGCCCUGGAGUGGGGGACAACAGUUGGAAACGACUGCUAAUACCGCAUAAGCCCACGGAUCCGCAUGGAUCUGCGGGAAAAGGAUUUAUUCGCUUCAGGAUGGACUCGCGUCCAAUUAGCUAGUUGGUGAGGUAACGGCCCACCAAGACGACGAUUGGUAGCCGGACUGAGAGGUUGAACGGCCACAUUGGGACUGAGACACGGCCCAGACUCCUACGGGAGGCAGCAGUGGGGGAUAUUGCACAAUGGGGGAAACCCUGAUGCAGCGACGCCGCGUGGAGGAAGAAGGUUUUCGGAUUGUAAACUCCUGUCGUUAGGGACGAUAAUGACGGUACCUAACAAGAAAGCACCGGCUAACUACGUGCCAGCAGCCGCGGUAAAACGUAGGGUGCAAGCGUUGUCCGGAAUUACUGGGUGUAAAGGGAGCGCAGGCGGACCGGCAAGUUGGAAGUGAAAACUAUGGGCU